This 453-nucleotide ribosomal RNA is filed under the name uncultured bacterium. RNAcentral describes it as "bacterial SSU rRNA". It matches the Rfam family "Bacterial small subunit ribosomal RNA", at positions 10 to 507 of the family's 1533-position model. The record is from RNAcentral.
AGUUUGAUCAUGGCUCAGGAUGAACGCUGGCGGCGUGCCUAAGACAUGCAAGUCGAGUGGGGUUUAGGCCCACGGCAAACCGGGUGAGUAAUAUUUUAGGGAACGUGCCUCUAGUUGAGCAUAACCUAUCGAAAGGUAGAGUAAUUCUCAAUGUGACCGCAAGGUUAAAGUCGCAAGACGCUAGAGAAGCGGCCUGGACACCAUCAGCUAGUUGGUAAGGUAAUGGCUUACCAAGGCUAUGACGGUUAGGGGUCCCGAGAGGGAUAACCCCCACACUGGAACUGAGACACGGUCCAGACUCCUACGGGAGGCAGCAGUUUGGAAUUUGGACAAUGGGCGAAAGCCUGAUCCAGCGACGCCGCGUGGACGAUGAAGGUCUUCGGAUUGUAAAGUCCUUUUGUUAGGGAAGAAUAUUUGACGGUACCUAACGAAUAAGAGGUUGCUAACUCUGUG